GCGGAUAUGGCGGAAUUGGCAGACGCGCAUGGUUCAGGUCCAUGUGGGGGCAACUUCAUGCAGGUUCGACUCCUGUUAUCCGCA
RNAcentral lists this transfer RNA (84 nucleotides) under Candidatus Faecimorpha stercoravium. Its description in RNAcentral is "tRNA-Leu". It matches the Rfam family "tRNA". From Rfam's summary of the family: Transfer RNA (tRNA) molecules are approximately 80 nucleotides in length. Their secondary structure includes four short double-helical elements and three loops (D, anti-codon, and T loops). Lineage: Bacteria; Bacillati; Bacillota; Clostridia; Eubacteriales. RNAcentral also lists the same sequence under 1 other name. The record is from RNAcentral.